CGGACGGGUGAGUAACGCGUAAGAACUUGCCCUUUAGACUGGGAUAACAGAGGGAAACUUCUGAUAAUACUGGAUAAGUUAGUAUAUCGCAUGAUAUGCAAAUGAAAGCUACGGCACUAACGGAGAGCUUUGCGUCCUAUUAGCUAGUUGGUAAGGUAAGAGCUUACCAAGGCGAUGAUAGGUAGCCGGCCUGAGAGGGUGGACGGCCACAAGGGGACUGAGAUAUGGCCCUUACUCCUACGGGAGGCAGCAGCG
This 255-nucleotide ribosomal RNA is filed under the name uncultured Leptotrichia sp. Its description in RNAcentral is "partial 16S ribosomal RNA". It matches the Rfam family "Bacterial small subunit ribosomal RNA", at positions 99 to 356 of the family's 1533-position model. The record is from RNAcentral. Lineage: Bacteria; Fusobacteriati; Fusobacteriota; Fusobacteriia; Fusobacteriales; Leptotrichiaceae.